This 380-nucleotide unclassified non-coding RNA is filed under the name uncultured Gemmatimonadaceae bacterium. RNAcentral's name for it is "contains 16S-23S intergenic spacer region". The record is from RNAcentral. Lineage: Bacteria; Pseudomonadati; Gemmatimonadota; Gemmatimonadia; Gemmatimonadales; Gemmatimonadaceae.
UCCGGUUUGGCACCGGCAGUCUUCCCAGAGUCCCCGCCACAACGCGCUGGCAACUGGGAACGGGGGUUGCGCUCGUUGCGGGACUUAACCCAACAUCUCACGACACGAGCUGACGACAGCCAUGCAGCGCCUGUGCUGGUGUCCCGAAGGAGGCCCUCCGUUUCUGGAGGGUUUCACCAGCAUGUCAAGCCUAGGUAAGGUUCUUCGCGUUGCGUCGAAUUAAACCACAUGCUCCACCGCUUGUGCGGGCCCCCGUCAAUUCCUUUGAGUUUCAGCCUUGCGGCCGUACUCCCCAGGCGGGGCACUUAAUGCGUUAGCGCCGGCACUCAAGGGGUCGCUCCCCCAAGCACCUAGUGCCCAUCGUUUACGGCGUGGACUAC